GUUGGUAGGUAUGGUACGAAGAUAUCGCUGAUGUCGAGUAGUCGUACAGGUCAUCCGGCCUUUAUAGAUCAUCCACUCGAAGCCCUUGAUCAGAUCUUCUUUCUCGGGAGUGCUAGCUUGCAUCGAAGAUUCUUGAUGGCUGAUCCAAGCUCCUUUCUUUGGAUCUCUUGGACUUCUUCGAAUCAGAAGAUGAAGAUUUACGAGGAGGUGGUGAUGUGG
Molecule: long non-coding RNA, 219 nt
Filed under: Elaeis guineensis (African oil palm)
Lineage: Eukaryota; Viridiplantae; Streptophyta; Magnoliopsida; Arecales; Arecaceae
Description: long non-coding RNA (EGUI_LNC055343)
Source: RNAcentral